RNAcentral lists this long non-coding RNA (245 nucleotides) under Gossypium barbadense (sea-island cotton). Its description in RNAcentral is "long non-coding RNA (GBAR_LNC009034)". The record is from RNAcentral. Lineage: Eukaryota; Viridiplantae; Streptophyta; Magnoliopsida; Malvales; Malvaceae.
GAUUUUGAAGUCGAAGUCGCCCACACUAUCAAAGCUCCUUUUGGUAUACUUUUGGUUGAACUUUGAAAUGGCAUGUAUAGGACCACCCUUUUGUUGUUGGUCAUGAACCCUUCGGUAUUGUGUAAAUUUGGAUAGCCAUGCGAAAAUGGCUUAAAUAUACUUUGAUCAUAGCAUUAUAAUCAUUUUGUAUGUUGUCCGUCGAGAGGUAUGGAAAUGUUGGCAACGGUUAGCCAUGGGAAUGGUUA